This 551-nucleotide ribosomal RNA is filed under the name uncultured bacterium. Its description in RNAcentral is "bacterial SSU rRNA". It matches the Rfam family "Bacterial small subunit ribosomal RNA", at positions 353 to 896 of the family's 1533-position model. The record is from RNAcentral.
AGUGGGGAAUAUCGCACAAUGGAGGAAACUCUGAUGCAGCCAUGCCGCGUGUGUGAAGAAGGCUUUCGGGUUGUAAAGCACUUUCAGCGAGGAGGAAAGGGUGCAGGUUAAUACCCUGUAUCUGUGACGUUACUCGCAGAAGAAGCACCGGCUAACUCCGUGCCAGCAGCCGCGGUAAUACGGAGGGUGCGAGCGUUAAUCGGAACUACUGGGCGUAAAGCGCGCGUAGGCGGUUAAUUAAGUCAGAUGUGAAAGCCCAGGGCUCAACCUUGGAACUGCAUUUGAAACUGGUUAACUAGAGUUUUGUAGAGGGUGGUAGAAUUUCAGGUGUAGCGGUGAAAUGCGUAGAGAUCUGAAGGAAUACCAGUGGCGAAGGCGGCCACCUGGGCAAAGACUGACGCUGAGGCGCGAAGGCGUGGGGAGCGAACGGGAUUAGAUACCCCGGUAGUCCACGCAGUAAACGAUGUCUAUUAGAAGUUUGUGGCUAUAUGCCGUGGGUUUCAAAGCUAACGCAUUAAAUAGACCGCCUGNAAAGUACGGCCGCAAGGUUA